AAUAGAUACCCAGGUAGUCCACGCCGUAAACGAUGAGUGCUAAGUGUUAGAGGGCUUCCACCCUUUAGUGCUGCAGCUAACGCAUUAAGCACUCCGCCUGGGGAGUACGGCCGCAAGGCUGAAACUCAAAGGAAUUGACGGGGGCCCGCACAAGCGGUGGAGCAUGUGGUUUAAUUCGAAGCAACGCGAAGAACCUUACCAGGUCUUGACAUCCUUCGCUACCUCUAGAGAUAGAGGGUUCCCCUUCGGGGGACGGAGUGACAGGUGGUGCAUGGUUGUCGUCAGCUCGUGUCGUGAGAUGUUGGGUUAAGUCCCGCAACGAGCGCAACCCUUGACCUUAGUUGCCAGCAUUCAGUUGGGCACUCUAAGGUGACUGCCGGUGACAAACCGGAGGAAGGUGGGGAUGACGUCAAAUCAUCAUGCCCCUUAUGACCUGGGCUACACACGUGCUACAAUGGAUGGUACAAAGGGUCGCGAAACCGCGAGGUGGAGCUAAUCCCAAAAAACCAUUCUCAGUUCGGAUUGCAGG
Molecule: ribosomal RNA, 529 nt
Filed under: uncultured bacterium
Lineage: Bacteria
Description: bacterial SSU rRNA
Rfam family: Bacterial small subunit ribosomal RNA
Source: RNAcentral